Molecule: ribosomal RNA, 936 nt
Filed under: Streptococcus sp. BS-38
Lineage: Bacteria; Bacillati; Bacillota; Bacilli; Lactobacillales; Streptococcaceae
Description: partial 16S rRNA
Rfam family: Bacterial small subunit ribosomal RNA
Source: RNAcentral
GACGUUUUUCCGGAAUNAUUGGGNUAAAGGNGGCGUAGGCNGUACNUUAAGUCUNUAGUAAAAGGCGGCAGCUCAACUGUNGUAGGCUAUGGAAACUGGCGAACUAGAGNGCAGAAGAGGGGCGAUGGAACNNCCAUGUGNAGCGGUAAAAUGCGUAGAUAUAUGGAAGAACCACCAGUGGCGAAAGGGCGGUCGCCUGGUCUGUAACUGNCGCUGAAGCACGGAAAGCGUGGGGAGCAAAUAGGAUUAGAUACCCUAGUAGUCCCACCNCCGUAAAACGAUGAGAACUAAAGUGUUGGGGGAAUAACUCAGUGCUGCAGUUAACGCAAUAAGUUCUCCGCCUGGGGAGUAUGCACCGCAAGUGUGAAACUCAAAGGAAUUGACGGGGGCCCGCACAAGCGGUGGAGUAUGUGGUUUAAUUCGAAGCAACGCGAAGAACCUUACCAGGCCUUGACAUCCCCGGCGAAGACAUGGAGACAUGUCCGGAGGUUACCCGGGAGACAGGUGGUGCAUGGUUGUCGUCAGCUCGUGUCGUGAGAUGUUGGGUUAAGUCCCGCAACGAGCGCAACCCUUGUGAUAUGUUACUAACAUUGAGUUGAGGACUCAUAUCAGACUGCCGGUGACAAACCGGAGGAAGGUGGGGAUGACNUCAAAUCAUCAUGCCCCUUAUGGCCUGGGCUACACACGUACUACAAUGGCGGCUACAAAGAGCGGCGAACCCNCGAGGGGGAGCGAAUCUCACAAAGGUCGUCUCAGUUCGGAUUGAAGUCUGCAACCCGACUUCAUGAAGUUGGAAUCGCAUAGUAAUCGCGAAUCAGCAUGUCGCGGNGAAUACGUUCUCGGGCCUUGUACNCCCCGCCCGUCAAACCAUGGGNGUUGGUANUNCCCGAANCCGGUGGCUUNCCCCAAGGAGUNACCNUCCAAGGUGGAUCCAUA